Ornithorhynchus anatinus (platypus) is the source of this 138-nucleotide small nucleolar RNA. The record is from RefSeq and is a predicted model, not a curated record. Lineage: Eukaryota; Metazoa; Chordata; Mammalia; Monotremata; Ornithorhynchidae.
CCCCUCUCAGGACUGCACCUGGAGAGUUUCCAGUACUCUAACAGUCUUGGCUACGGGAGGGAGAGUCAAGCACUGGUAGACCCAUUCCAUUCCUAGCUUGGCCAGUGACUGGCGAGUGGAAGGCAAUCUGCUACAAGU